Passer domesticus (house sparrow) is the source of this 1120-nucleotide long non-coding RNA. RefSeq lists it as uncharacterized. NCBI's taxonomy places the organism in Eukaryota, Metazoa, Chordata, Aves, Passeriformes, Passeridae. The transcript is spliced from 3 exons. The record is from RefSeq and is a predicted model, not a curated record.
ACACCCCUGAGCCCCAGCAGCACCUGUGUCCCUGCUCAGGAACGAUGGAUAAGGGGCAGGGUUUGUUCAGGCCUCGCUGGAAACACAGAGCUGUUCUCUCUAUGUUGGGAGGGGCUUUUCUGAAACUUCAACCCCUCUGUGGUGGGAUGCCCAUGAAGAGAAGCAAGAGGCUGUGAUAAAGGAGGAAGAUUAGAGCGCCGUUAAGAUGUGGAAUAAUGAUGCAGCUCAAGCAGGGCCAGUGGAAAAAACAACCCGCUCAGGAAAAUAUCUCCAAAGUGCUGAGCAGAGGAGGGCAUUUAAAAACUGAUAACGCUGAGAGCUGGUGCCAAAUAAUGAAGAUGAGACUUUGAAGUGGGACAGAGUUGAUGCACUGAAUCAAAGCAGUUGAUGACUCUGCCUCCCUCUCAAGUGAAUCCCUCGUGUUUAUUUGGAUGGCUGAAGUAACAUUAAUAAGAUAAUUCCCUAAGAACCACCCUCUGUGUCUUUUUCAUAAACUCCCACCCCAAACAGCAUAAUUAAUUUUGCUGUUGUACAGAAGAAUAAUAAUAAAAAAUCCUUUGGGAGGUAGGUGGUAAUUUCUAUCUGAUGGAAAUUGAGAUUAGACACAGCACAUAAAACUUUUUGAUAAUUUAUUCACCAGAAAUUGCUGUAUUAUACCUAUCAGAGAGCUGGUGAUAUGAAACUUAACAAGCUGAUAUUUCACUCUGAUUUCCUUGAGCAUGAUCCAAUUUAUUAAAACAAAAUUCUAGAUUAGCUUUAAUAAGAAAGAUUUUUAUAUUCCAGACUAACGUAUGUCAGAAUGCACAAAACCGAUAACGGGAGCGCUGACAGGAGCUCGGUUUUGUGCAGCACUGAGAGACGGGUUCAGAAGGAAAAGGAGAAAUUUCCCCAAAUUUCUGAGUAUUUCUGUGGAACCGGGGGAUGAGAGAGCAGAAAAGAGAGCAGGGUUGUGUCGGAGCACCGCCCAGAGCAGCACAGCACGAGGCAGCACCGUGGGGGAAGCUAUUUCUGGUUCCAUCAUCAACGCCCCAUAUGACAGCACAGGAAUUAUUUCAGGACACAAUCGCUUUCCAAUGGGUACGGAAUAAAUAGAGAGGAGCUGAGAGAACCCUUGCUGUUU